GCAGCCGUGGCCUACUGGUUAGGGCUUCAGGCUCGUAACCAAAGUGUUGCUGGUUCGAUCCCUGACCAGUAGAA
This 74-nucleotide transfer RNA is filed under the name Alosa alosa (allis shad). Its description in RNAcentral is "tRNA-OTHER". Lineage: Eukaryota; Metazoa; Chordata; Actinopteri; Clupeiformes; Clupeidae. The record is from RNAcentral.